Molecule: long non-coding RNA, 528 nt
Organism: Hibiscus syriacus
Lineage: Eukaryota; Viridiplantae; Streptophyta; Magnoliopsida; Malvales; Malvaceae
Exons: 2
Source: RefSeq, a predicted model, not a curated record
UUCUUAAACCAAUUUCAUAAUGGCAAACACAAAGGGAAAUAGACCCUCACUUCCCAUCACCAACCUCGUUCUAUUUCUCUUCAUUUCUCUCUCAAUUCUCCCCGACAUCACCGUCGCCAGGUAUCACCAUCACCCAUCCCUUCCAACACCACCGUCCCCUCCUUCGGUUCCACCGCCAUCGCCACCAAAGAAACCAGAGGCCGAGACAUACCAAGGAGGAGGCAUGUAUUAUCUGCCUCCUAAUCGCGUCUAGAAAAUCCCCAUACUGCUUCAUGCUACUGGAGUUUAACAACAAUACAGUAAGCCUUAUCAAAUAAAACUGAAGCAUGCAUGCUGCUGCUUCGUCUUGGGCGCUUUGAAGGAAUAAAAUGGUUAAUACCGUUGUUUGAACACGUUUUUCCUUACAACUCAGCAUAUGUUUAUGGUUUAGUGUGGGAGUUUGAAUUAUAGUACGAGCAUGUAUUAUAUACCCGCGAUCACGUAGCGUUUUAGUUGUUUUCAUUUACGCAAUAAAAUGAUGUUUUUCAA